CGGACUUCAAUAACGCCCCACAGCCACCACCUCCGAUGAUUUCGAUACUUCAACACCACCGCCUCCGACACUAUGCAGCCCCCUUCUCCUCCUUCCCGUCUCUCAGCUACCGAGGCCAUCCACCGCCCCCUCUACCUCUUAAAAGCGGCGACAUCCAACCUCCUUAUCCCCCUCCUCCUCCUCGUCUUCAUCUCCACCGAAGGGGAUUGCGAGGUUUCUCCACCGAAAGCCGAAGGGGAAGCCCGGCCUCCAUCUCUUCCUCUCUUUUCCUUGACAGAAGGUCUUCACAUAAUGAAGUCUUAAGCAAAGACUACUGUUUCAACUGCAGUGGAUGGAAGAACUGCGUCCAACUGAUUCUAUUUGAGUGUGAGGAGGUCUAUACAAUUUUUCUUGGAUAAUCUUUUGAGUCAGACAGAUGAUCAACAACAGACUUUUUCUGCAAUUGGUGAGGUGGGUUGCAAAUUUAAAAUAGACAAGAGAUUGAGCAUUCUUGUAUAUUUACUGCUUAAGAGAUUAUCAUAUGUGGGUGGAACUUUGAUCAUUCUUUACAGGAUUUGUUAGCAAUAGCAACAGGUCAACUAUUACAUUUUCUGUCCACCUUUGCCUUUGUCUUAAGGGCAUUCUCAACUCUUGAAGGUGCAAUUCGCACAUGUUUAGUAGUGGUUUUAGUAGUUAGUUCAUACUUCUUGUGUUUCACUCUCAUCAAUAAAUUUAUGGGAACUUAUUGCCA
Elaeis guineensis (African oil palm) is the source of this 730-nucleotide non-coding RNA. The record is from RefSeq and is a predicted model, not a curated record. NCBI's taxonomy places the organism in Eukaryota, Viridiplantae, Streptophyta, Magnoliopsida, Arecales, Arecaceae.